CAUGGUGGACAAGUCGGUUAACAGCUGUAAGUAUUAAGUUCCUUGAAAUUUAAGACAACUGCUAAAGCACAUAUAACACAAGGAAAUGAUUACUACUUGUCUCGUUUUUCAAAAACUUGAGAAUGGAUAUUAACGUGUCCACGGUAGGUAUAGCUUCCAACUUAGAUCGUGUUUUAUUUUAGUGAAUCGGUCAACUUUUUCCGAGUUAAGAUAAAGACUACAGUAGUAUACCGCUGUUCGAAAGUCAUUAAUCAAUUUAGAGAAAACAAAUCCGGGUAACAAACUAAAACUCAGGUGAACACAUCAACUAUUAGAGGAAUACAACGAAACAACAGGAACACUGAAGUGCAACGAAUAACCAAAACGACAAUCACGAUGCAACACACACAGAAACGAACUAUAAGAUAACAACUGCCAUUUUCCUGACUUGGUACAGGACAUUUUAAGAAACAAACGGUGGGUUGAACCUGGUUUUGCGGCUAGCAAUGUUUCCAAAAUGACAUCAUAUGCGAGCAGAUCGAUUUACAGCUAUUUCGACAAUACAAUACUAGUAGGAGCAUUAGAACGAUGUUUUGUUUUAAUUUCCAUUUCUGGAACGAUAAUAUAUGUUUUCAUCACAAUAAACCGUAAACGAAACAUUUAGAGUGUAUUUUCUGUAAAAAAAACCCCACACACACCUUUAUCCGUUUUAAUGUCUAUGUGUACGUACGUCUCAAUCAAAUGUCUGACCUCACAUAAAGAUUGUUUACACCACGAAAUAUUUACUGUAUGCAGUCCAUAUCGGUACACUAACAUAUAUAUUAUUUGAAUAGCCUUUGUAUGAAAUGUACGUUUUAAUACAGCAUCAUCAAACUGGUCUAUUGCAUUGUUUCGUGUAUGAAAAGUAUUUUUGAUUUAUUUAAAAGUUAGUUAAAGCAUUGUUUCAUGCACUGACAUAAUACAUUUUCAUCAAUAGGGAUUGGCAACCAAUGUGUCUUCAACACAGCGAGAAUAUAUAAGUAUGUAUAUUCCAUGUUAGCAUUUCCGUUGACGUUUGCAUUGUUAUGGGUAUGAAAAUGGCUUUAAUCUAUAUUCUGGAAUAAAGCAUUUUAAGAUUAGAUUAUACGCUUCUAAAACAAAUUCAUGCUGGAUGGAUAAUACAUUUUAUCAUAAAUACUAAUUUAACUCCUAUGAUAUUGAGUAUUAGGUUCUGGCAUCAUGUAUGUGUCUUACCAGAAAAGAAGUGGGGAACGUGGCUUCACGAUUAAAUAAAGAGGAAUUUUCAUUGUACAUUGUAUUUCAAAAGACAAUAUAUAGGCAAUUUUACACUAUUUUGCAUCUGUACCUGUUUAUACAUGUAUAAAGGUGAUCAGCAUACAAUAUAAUGUAAAAUAAUUUUACACUUGUUACUAAAAUAACUAAUAAACCGUGACAGAUAGUGGAUGGACAUGAAGUGAAACACUUUGCGUUUCGGUCACUAUAUUAAAGGUUGAUUUAGUAUGAAUGUAGUAGUAUAAAAAGGAAAAAAAGUGUUAGAAAACAGAAUCACUAUUUGUGUACCUAUUGUUUUGUUAGCUUGUCAUUAAAUUACGUGUGCCGAAUUUGUAAUUAAACAAACACAGGGGCAAAUAUCACAAGGCAACACAUGUAGGUAAUGCAUGUAUUCAAAGCGUAGUCAAUUAUUAAGGGGGUCUAUGCAAAAUAAUAAGAAGUGAUUUGAGGAGCUAACAUAUAAACAUGUACAUUCGAGAGAAAUGUCACCCGAUUCCAACAUAUUUCGAACUACGAAGGUAUCCUGUUUUGCUUAACAAAUAUAUGCUAGAUAGCAAGCUUUUGCUUCGAAUCGAUCUAGAACUGCAUUCGGUCAUCUUGGUCCAAAUGAAAAAGGGGGGCAGUGAAAAUAAUCGACAUUGACUUUCAAGUUACAUUUGUUACAUUUGGUUUUAAAAAAAAAAAACAUGUAUGUUAUUUGUCGUAUAUCAAUAAACAAGUGUCCUUUCCAUCGUUACGACUGAUAAUUUAACUUUACCUGCUGUAUUGAAUUAACGAAACCUACACCUUUUGUUAAUAAAUAUUUACUUUCAGACGCAGUAUGUAUAUUAGAGAAGUAUUGAUUACAGCAGAAAUAGUUUUAACGAUUAAAGAAAAUGAAGCUGUAAAAAAAUAAUAAAAUAAACCGAGAAACGUUUAUACUAAUAUGUUUACAAUGAAAUAAUUCCAGUACGAAAAAUAAGCUCGAAUUCGUUUAUAAGCUGUAAUAAAACGUGACCCGUUGAGAGAAAAACGCCUUAUUUAUACUUAACAAUUAAGAGUAAACAUGCAUGGUACGACACGUUUUGAUAUCAUUUGACUAGUGUAAGAGUAUUAUAAAACCGUUUCACAAUGUGUGAUGAAAUUCCUAUUGGUCAUGUCGUUAGGUAAAUCUGAAUGUAAAUAUGUUUUUUGCAACUCAUUUAAAAAGUAAAAUCACAAAAAUACUGAGCUCCGAGGAAAAUUCAAAACUUAAAGCCCCUAAACAAAUGGAAAAAUCGAAUGAUAAAAUGAUAUCAAACGAAUGGACAACUGUCAUAUUCCUGACUUGGGACACACAUUUUCAAGUGUAGAAAAUGGUGGAUUGAACCUGGUUCUUCUAUACUGAGAAGGUAAAUAUGCUAGAUAUACUUACUGGAGGUAUGAUGAGAUAUUUGAAGCUGUUAAUUUUCUCCUUAAUACUAUAUACGUAUUUAUGAACGUUUCGGCAAAAAAGUUUAUCAAAAGGUUGUAGGUAUUCCUAUCAAUUGCAGAUUUGUUCUUGCACUGUUAUGAAUCACAGUUUUUGACCAAACUCAGUGAAGACCCGUCUGAAUUGCAUUUAAUUGACAAAUUCAACAACACUUCCCGUUAUCUUGAUGAUAUUUUUCAUUAAUUAAUCAAGAAUAAAAUAUAGACAGUAAUAACUGUCUUUUCAAUGAUAUCGGUAUUUCAGUUUUACAACUAUAACUGUCAAAUAAAUUUUAAGACAAAAGGGACGAUUGUUUGUUCCCUAUUGUUUAUUUCCAUUUUUUUGGAUAGUGAUGUUCCUUUGGCACCAUUUUACGGGGUUUCGAAAUCACAACUCAUUCGAAAUGACCGUGUAUGUUGUGACAUUUUGGAUUUUGAUGAACGUAAUCUAUGUAUUAAAGUUAAAUUAUUAAGUCAGGCAUUUUACCACAAAUUACUCAAAACCUUUCGUAGAUUAUUCCAAUGAUAUAAAGAUUUGAUUUUGAGGUUUGGUUUCACCUGUAAAAUAAUUAAGUUAGGGAAAACACAUCUUCAUUUUUACGGAAAUGUUGUUUAACGAGCCUGGAAAUAUCAAAACGAUCCAGGUAAACUUAUUGAUCCUUAAAAUAAACUUAUUCUAAAAGGUAACCAACUCAACGCUGUAAUUAGAUCUUUUUUGGUUUUAUUGGUAUUAAUAUUGUUUUUCUAUCAGUAAAUUAAUAAAGCAAAGUAAUUGUUAAUACAAAUGCACAUUCAGGGCUCUACAAUCUGUCGAUACCUGUAUCUUAGCAUUGCACAAGGUCAUGUUUUUCUCUUGACUGUUUAUGACGUCUUUAUCCUAUGAGUUGAGCCCUUUUCAACUGAUUUGUAUGCUUUGUUCUUAUUUUGUAUUGUUACACCACUUUCCUUAUGUUAGGGGAGGGAUCGACGCCCGCUGAUAUGUGUAACACUACAACACCCUAUAUGUGCCUGUGCCAAGUCAACAGCCUGUAAUUGAGUGUUUGUUGUUUGCUUCUGUUCUUCAUAUGCGAUGUUAAUUGAUUAAUGUGAAUAGUUCUUGUAUUGUUCUGUUGGACCACUGUCCCAGGACUAAUAGAAAGACUGGUAACCAAAUAAUAUGUUUACCCCGCCACAUUAUGUAUGUACCUGUCCCAAGUCAAGGCUUGGCUUGUAAUUGAGCGGUUGUCGUUUAUUGCUGUGUUACUUAUUUGUUUUUUUGUUAAUAAUUUUGUAAAUAAAUGUCUCGGUGACAUAUAGUUGUUAAUUUCUGCGUCAUUUUGGGCUCUUGUGGAGAUUUGCCUUAUUGGCAAUAUUUCAACAUCUUUUUGUUUAUAUGCAUUAUGUUCUUGUCACUGUUGUUUCGUUGUUUUCUUCUUAUAGUAUAUGUGUUUCCCGCGGUUUUAUUUGUAGCACGGAUAUGUUGUUUUUUUUUCUCAAUCGAUUUAUGACUUUCGAACAGCGAUAUACUACUGUUGUCUUUAUUUAUCGAGCGGUAUUACAUUCGAUCAGAUCGAUUUACUGUUAUUUCGCGAUUUUAUUUUAGUUGUAUUAGUUUCUAUUCGUCUUAUUCUGAUUGGUAUACAUGUUUUGAACAAAAAAGACGCACGAGUUCCGUUAUUGACGUUGACAGGAAGAUUAUCAAAUUUUAAGUCUUGUCUUGUUAAAAAAAAACAUAAUAAAAACUACAGGUUUAAUGUUACAUCUUUUUGUUUAUAUGCAUUAUCUUCAUGUUACUAGAUAAAAUUAAUAAUCUGAAUGGCUGCAUAAAGUAAACUGCAUACACUCAAUUAAAUUAUAUUUGUUGGUUAUAAAAUGAAGUCUGGAGUUUGAGAAGACGGAAAAAUUAAAUACAAGUGUUAGAGAAAUUGAAAUUAUUUUCCACUUCUGCCAAUAUAAUAGAACAACUAUUUUAUUCCAGUUAAAAAUUUAAUAAACGGUCCAACAUAAUUAUAUAUGACAUGCAAUACUAUUUUUAAAGUGCAACAUAAUAAUCAUGUUAAUAGAAAUUAGUGAUGGUCCAUUGUUAAGAUGAAUUUGCUAAAACUUUCACAUUUAGAUACAAAAGAAACCAUUAUUUAAAUAAAUAAAUACAUGCAUUAAAAAAAAAUAAUACCAUCGAAAAUUUGAGAUAAAUAUGAGACGCCAUUUUUAAAAAUAUCAAUAAAGUUCGAAAGAUAAUAAUCAAACUGAUUUUCGUCUGGUCAUACUGUAUACAAACACAAGUCGGUUUUCAAAUAAGAAAGAAGCAAACAGUGAAAAAUAUAUUCAACAGUUACCACAUCAUCUUGCAGAUUGCGUAUUGCUUUCUUAUCAGGCGAUAUAAUUUAGGUAAAAUGAAUAGUAAUGAUUUGUUAGUCAGGUAACCUAGAUGAUAGAUAUUUGAACGAUGCGUCAGUAUACGAUUUUUUUCAUACCAAAACAAAAAUAUUAUAUAAUUUUAUUUUCCUUGACAUGAUUUAUACACUGACAAACAUAAUUAUAUUAUAUAACAAACUUUGUAUACGUAUACGGAGGCCUGUUCUAUACUGUGCUAAGAAACUGCUUGUGUAAAAACGAAUAAUUGGUUUGGACAGACUGACGAUAGUUGUAGAGUCCGGCGGAGAUUCACUUUUUUUUCGAGUGAUUCGGUCACCUUUUUUCGAAUGAAGAUCAAAUGAUAUAGUUACAAACCUGAUCUUGAACAGUAUCAAAAAGUUGUAGAAAGUUUACUGUGAUGUCACUUUUGUGGCGUUGACCCAGUCGUGUGAAAGACAGUUCGCGGUUCUUUUGUGCUGUUUUGUGUGCGGUCCUAUGUUGUUUUACGUGUUCGUUGUUAUUAAGUAUUUAGCAUGUCGAAAUGGACUAAUGUAUUGUUUAAUUGUGUUUUACUCUGUCCUUAAUGUUCUGAAUGCAUUUGUUUGUUCUGUAUUCCUGUCAUGUAAUGGUAACAUUUUAGUGUUAUUUAACAUUGCCAUAAAAAGUUUGGCUAGCCACAAAACUAGGUCAACCCACAAUAUUUUCAUUAAAUGUACCAAGUCAGGAAAAUGGCAGUUGUUAUCUUAUAGUUCGUUUAUGUGUGUGUUGCAUUGUCGUUGUUUUUAGUUUACUUCAGUGUUUCUGUUGUUUUGUUGUUUUCUUCUUAUAGGUGAUGUGUUUCCUGCAGUUUUAUUUGUAGCACUGAUAUGUUUUUUUCUCAAUCGAUUUAUGACUUUCGAACAGCGAUAUACUACUGUUGUCUUUAUUUAUCGAGCGGUAUUACAUCCGAUCAGAUCGAUUUACUGUUAAUUCGCGAUUUUAUUUUAGUUGUAUUAGUUUCUAUUCGUCUGAUUGGUAUACAUGUUUUGAACAAGAAAGACGCACGAGUUCCGUUAUUUACGUUGACAGGAAGUAAUCAAAUUUUAAGUCUUAGUCUUGUUAAAAAAAAACCAUAAUAAAAACUACAGGUUUAAGGUUACAUACAAUAGUUAUAUAAUUAUCUAUUUAAUGUUCACUGCAUUAUAAACAGAACUUAUCUGACAUCAUUAAUUUAUACCAGGCGUAAGUUAGUUGUGAACAUUGACAAGUUUCCUUAAAAUAUAUCUGAAAAAAUCAAAACAAUUGAACAACAUAUAAGAUAAUUGUAUAAUGGUAGAAAGUUCCAGUAUUUUUUAUGUACAUAUAGCGGUGUUGUUAACUGGAAUUAAGUUAUAUUGUUAUUGGACUUCUGUGUCUGUCAUAUCAGAUUUUUAAAUGUAUUACAAUACGAAGUGGAGAAACAAAACUUAAGUCGAAGACAAAUAAAAUCAUUUUUUUUUUUUAUAUUUGAGCAUAUGGAUUCCUUUUUUUCUCUUUACUUUUUUACAGUUUUUACGUAAAAGGUGCUUGACAGUGUGGAAAGGUUGAUAAAAUUAAUGAGGGUCUUGUUUACAGAAUAGAGAAAAAGGCAAGAGAAUAAUGAAACAUAGGAAAAAGAUAAAGAAUAGAUAAUAAUCGGGUGUAAAAGUAUAAAGAAUUGUAACUGUUGAAAAAUUAAGUAAAACAAAACUGAGUAUUAAAAUUUGUGGUGUACAGAAUAAGGAAAUAAUUGUCUUACAGAAAAUGUUGAUAGUAUUAUUAUUGUAAUAAAACAUUUAUAGAACAAGCAGUAAAAAUGUCCUUUAAUUGAAAAUAUGCAGAUAUUGAGAAACCCACAUCUAG
RNAcentral lists this long non-coding RNA (6873 nucleotides) under Mytilus galloprovincialis (Mediterranean mussel). Lineage: Eukaryota; Metazoa; Mollusca; Bivalvia; Mytilida; Mytilidae. The record is from RNAcentral.